This 307-nucleotide unclassified non-coding RNA is filed under the name Ensifer sp. OV372. Its description in RNAcentral is "Long range pseudoknot". Lineage: Bacteria; Pseudomonadati; Pseudomonadota; Alphaproteobacteria; Hyphomicrobiales; Rhizobiaceae. The record is from RNAcentral.
ACGUGAAGAUGCGGGCGAUGAACCGGUUCUUCGAGGACGGCGACAAGGUCAAGGUCACGCUGAAGUUCCGCGGUCGCGAAAUGGCCCACCAGGAACUCGGCAUGAAGCUUCUGCUGCAGGUCAAGGACGACACCCAGGCGAUUGCCAAGGUGGAAGCCGAGCCGAAGCUCGAAGGCCGCCAGAUGAUGAUGGUUCUCGCGCCGCGCUAAGCGCGUGCCGCCCAUCCGUCGAGAUUACGAAAGCCGCCUCCGGGCGGCUUUUUUCGUUUGCGGGAUCCUUCGGGCUUUGCUGACAGAAUGCUGACAAU